RNAcentral lists this long non-coding RNA (517 nucleotides) under Mytilus galloprovincialis (Mediterranean mussel). The record is from RNAcentral. Lineage: Eukaryota; Metazoa; Mollusca; Bivalvia; Mytilida; Mytilidae.
AUUGAGGUCUAAAGGGUCUAAAAUUAAACAUUAUUUGAUUUCAUCAAAAAUUGAAUUCUUAGGGUUCUAUGAUAUGCUGAAUCUAGCCAUGUGUUUAGAUUUUGGAUAUUGGACCAUAAUAGGUAAAUGUCCAAUUUAAAAAUUUUAAGUUUUUAAGUUUAAGUUCUUAGACCACAUUCAUUCUGUGUCAGAAACUUAUGUUGUGUCAACUAUUUAAUCACAAUCCAAAUUCAGAGCUGUAUCAAGCUUGAAUGUUGUGUCCAUACUUGCCCCAACUGUUCAGGGUUCGAACUCUGCGGUCGUAUAAAGCUGCGCCCUGUGGAGCAUCUGGUUGUGUUUUGGUCUGUUUUUCUUAUACUCUAUGCAAUAGGUCUACUAUAUUUGGUGUAUGGAAUGAUUGCAAUUGUACAUGUCUAGCUGGCAGGUGUCAUUUGUACUUCGGCUCAUUUUCAUGGUUCAGUGGUCCGUUAAUUUUUGAGUUGUGGUCUUUUUUUCUCAUACUAUGAAAAAGGUCAAC